GUUUCAGAUUUUGUUAACUAACAGAGAAGAGCGGGUCGUUGCUUAUGGUGGCGCCUUAAAAAGAAGGGCCGGGACAAAUGGAAAGGGACCCCAACAAGGAAAACUGGGUAUUUGCAGAUAUGCUCCACACGGACGAUCCUCCUUUUUUAGGCUGUAAUUUGCCAACACACACCGGGGGCUCAGAGAAGUCCUAUAGUACCUUUGUUUAAUCCAGCGUUCACGGGUUCCACUGGUCAUGGAACUUCUUGGGUAGCAAACUAGCCAGUUCCAGGGCAGUCUGAGAAAAGUGGCUUGACGCCGUGGCCCGACCGAGGACCCUGACCCAGGACUCCUGCCCCCAGCAAGUUCUCUCUCUCUGAAAAAAGAGACAAGACAGGC
Molecule: long non-coding RNA, 378 nt
Organism: Physeter macrocephalus (sperm whale)
Lineage: Eukaryota; Metazoa; Chordata; Mammalia; Artiodactyla; Physeteridae
Exons: 3
Source: RefSeq, a predicted model, not a curated record